Molecule: long non-coding RNA, 1713 nt
Organism: Bombus terrestris (buff-tailed bumblebee)
Lineage: Eukaryota; Metazoa; Arthropoda; Insecta; Hymenoptera; Apidae
Exons: 3
Source: RefSeq, a predicted model, not a curated record
CCCUUGUUGCAGACUUAAGUUUCUAGAUCUUAGAGAUUAAAUUCGGGUCUUAUGUUGCCAAGAUCGUAAUUCCACUUCAUCAGAUUUGGGCCUGUUUCGAGUUCAACGACUGAUGGAAUUACGAAAGUUACGAUUUUACGACACUAAAAAAAUUGAAGAAAAGAAAUCACAGGUCUACGAAGAAAAGAGAGGAAGUAUACGAAAUAAAAAUGACUUAACUCGAUGAAAAUUGCUUGUUAAGCAUAACUAUAGAUUGGAACUGUUUUAAUACGCUGGAAGAAUCGCUGCCUCUUUCUUUGAAGCACUUUGCAUAAAAAAUGAAGCCUCUGGUGAAAGGGGCCGUUCAUUUCACGAAAUCUCUUCAAAGCGGCGCGGCAACAAGAAACAAGGUCUCAAGGGAUAUGACCGAUCGUAGUACUUCAUCGUUUGCUAGCCACUUCAGAAUGCGAUCUCACCGCAGCCAAAGUGGAAAAUGAACGUGUCACGACGCGGAUUGUUACUCGGGAUCGACCUAUUAUUAAACUGCUAAUAGCUUGUAGAUGACGCGUACAAUCUGUAACAAUUAGUUCUGACGCGAGCGAAACUUCAUUAAAUACGUUCGAAUUACACGUUUUUAAUGGGAAUAAAUCGAGAUACUCUCAAAUGAGAUAUUUUAUUUGAGAUAUUUUAAUGAGAUAUUUAUGAGAAAUUUUCAUCUUAUCCUAAAGCUUCGGGAUAUUAAAUGAUACUAAAUAUUACUCCAAUUAUACUCGUUAAAACAAAUAAUUAAAAGAGAAGUAAUAUUCUCACGUUUCGUUUCAUGCUCUAAAUUUUCUUUAAUCGAUACCGUCGAGUCAUUAAAAGAAUCUUGUUGCAAAAUAUCGUGGUGUUUAAAAAUCAACAUUCCUUUUAUAUAUAACCAGUCUUCUCUUCGAGCGUAAAAAUAUAAAACUUUCCUUCGAACACGAACUUCUCUUAUUCAGAGUCUCCCAAUUAGCGGCAGUAAGUUGUCACUCGAUUAAAUCGUCACUCGACUUUUUGUUAAAUAAGAAGAAUCUCGUAGAUCUUGGUCAAUUGGCACUCUGGUGGUGAAGCAAAGUUUCUUCCCUCGACUCAAGAUCCCAGUUGGUAUUUUUUCGUUCCCUCCAAUCGAUCUGCGGGUUUUCGAGUUCAUUGCUCAAGGCCACGCGCAGUCAAAAAGAGCAAGGGCUAUUGUGCGAAAGAUAAGGGAUCGUGGUAACAAGCAGGUCGAAGGAAUACGCGAGAAAGACUGCUAGAAAGCGGAAGAGGAAGAGAAAGAAAGAUGAACGUAUACGAUUCUAACCGCGGCUAGGGGAAAUUUAGAGGGGUUACGCCCGUACUUCUGCGUGGAUAAGUAGCGUUGGCAUCAAGAGGCUCGCACAACUUUUCUACAUAUCCGUAUAGCAUGUUCGUGUAUGCGUGUCUUUUUUUCGUGUACGAGUCUAAGGGUGGUCUGCAACUGAUGGCACAAUUAGUACUAUGCAACAGAGGGAAAUGAAAAAUAUGGCAGAAAAUUUGUUGAAAGCUCGGAAGUUCUGUUACAUUUGCUGCAAUCGCAGAGUUUAGAUUUAACAGGUUAAUUCUUGUAUUUCCAAUUAUCUUGGAGCUAAUUUUAACGGGUUAAUUUUCGUCUUCGUUUGAUAAAUUUUACCAUACGUUACACGCCCUAGCAAUGCCUGUAUAUUAAUUAAUUAGAUUACUUAAAAAGUGAAU